Molecule: small nuclear RNA, 74 nt
Filed under: Suricata suricatta (meerkat)
Lineage: Eukaryota; Metazoa; Chordata; Mammalia; Carnivora; Herpestidae
Description: U2 spliceosomal RNA (ENSSSUG00005017553.1)
Rfam family: U2 spliceosomal RNA
About the family: U2 is a small nuclear RNA (snRNA) component of the spliceosome (involved in pre-mRNA splicing). Complementary binding between U2 snRNA (in an area lying towards the 5' end but 3' to hairpin I) and the branchpoint sequence (BPS) of the intron results the bulging out of an unpaired adenosine, on the BPS, which initiates a nucleophilic attack at the intronic 5' splice site, thus starting the first of two transesterification reactions that mediate splicing.
Source: Rfam by way of RNAcentral
AUCGCUUCUUGGCCUUUUGGCUAAGAUCAAGUGUAGAAACUUUAUUAUAUAUAUUGAUGAUUUGCAUACAGUUU